Molecule: ribosomal RNA, 560 nt
Filed under: uncultured Alphaproteobacteria bacterium
Lineage: Bacteria; Pseudomonadati; Pseudomonadota; Alphaproteobacteria
Description: bacterial SSU rRNA
Rfam family: Bacterial small subunit ribosomal RNA
Source: RNAcentral
CCUACGGGAGGCAGCAGUGGGGAAUCUUAGACAAUGGGCGCAAGCCUGAUCUAGCCAUGCCGCGUGAGUGAUGAAGGCCUUAGGGUCGUAAAGCUCUUUCGCCAGGGAUGAUAAUGACAGUACCUGGUAAAGAAACCCCGGCUAACUCCGUGCCAGCAGCCGCGGUAAUACGGAGGGGGUUAGCGUUGUUCGGAAUUACUGGGCGUAAAGCGCACGUAGGCGGAUCAGAAAGUAAGGGGUGAAAUCCCAGGGCUCAACCCUGGAACUGCCUCUUAAACUCCUGGUCUUGAGUUCGAGAGAGGUGAGUGGAAUUCCGAGUGUAGAGGUGAAAUUCGUAGAUAUUCGGAGGAACACCAGUGGCGAAGGCGGCUCACUGGCUCGAUACUGACGCUGAGGUGCGAAAGUGUGGGGAGCAAACAGGAUUAGAUACCCUGGUAGUCCACACCGUAAACGAUGAAUGCCAGUCGUCGGGCAGUAUACUGUUCGGUGACACACCUAACGGAUUAAGCAUWCCGCCUGGGGAGUACGGUCGCAAGAUUAAAACUCAAAGGAAUUGACGG